This 253-nucleotide ribosomal RNA is filed under the name uncultured bacterium. RNAcentral describes it as "partial 16S ribosomal RNA". It matches the Rfam family "Bacterial small subunit ribosomal RNA", at positions 524 to 776 of the family's 1533-position model. The record is from RNAcentral.
UACGAAGGGGGCUAGCGUUGCUCGGAAUCACUGGGCGUAAAGCGCACGUAGGCGGAUUGUUAAGUCAGGGGUGAAAUCCUGGAGCUCAACUCCAGAACUGCCUUUGAUACUGGCGAUCUCGAGUCCGGGAGAGGUGAGUGGAACUGCGAGUGUAGAGGUGAAAUUCGUAGAUAUUCGCAAGAACACCAGUGGCGAAGGCGGCACACUGGCCCGGUACUGACGCUGAGGUGCGAAAGCGUGGGGAGCAAACAGG